GCGGCGAUAGCUCAGUGGGUAAAGCGUCAGUGAGAUUUCUGCGCGGGUUCGAAUCCCGCCUGUGGCA
Non-coding RNA from Aromia moschata, 67 nucleotides. NCBI's taxonomy places the organism in Eukaryota, Metazoa, Arthropoda, Insecta, Coleoptera, Cerambycidae. The record is from the annotation of a GenBank genome assembly.